This 332-nucleotide ribosomal RNA is filed under the name uncultured eukaryote. RNAcentral describes it as "partial 18S ribosomal RNA". It matches the Rfam family "Eukaryotic small subunit ribosomal RNA", at positions 1470 to 1796 of the family's 1831-position model. The record is from RNAcentral.
CCCUUAGAUGUUCUGGGCCGCACGCGCGCUACACUGUUCGACGCAGCGAGUCUUAACCUUGACCGAAAGGUUUGGGUAAUCUUCAGCAAAGUCGAACGUGAUGGGGAUCGAUCAUUGCAAUUAUUGAUCGUGAACGAGGAAUUCCUAGUAAGUGCAAGUCAUCAGCUUGCGCUGAUUACGUCCCUGCCCUUUGUACACACCGCCCGUCGCUACUACCGAUUGAAUGGUUUAGUGAGAUCUCUGGAUUGACGCUGGCUAGGGGGCGACCCUUGGCCAGACUGCUCGAGAACCUGCUCAAACUUGAUCAUUUAGAGGAAGUAAAAGUCGUAACA